This 404-nucleotide ribosomal RNA is filed under the name uncultured bacterium. RNAcentral describes it as "bacterial SSU rRNA". It matches the Rfam family "Bacterial small subunit ribosomal RNA", at positions 355 to 776 of the family's 1533-position model. The record is from RNAcentral.
UGGGGAAUAUUGCACAAUGGGGGAAACCCUGAUGCAGCGACGCCGCGUGAGUGAAGAAGUGUUUCGGCACGUAAAGCUCUGUCAGCAGGGAAGAAGAUGACGGUACCUGACCAAGAAGCCCCGGCUAACUACGUGCCAGCAGCCGCGGUAAUACGUAGGGGGCAAGCGUUAUCCGGAUUUACUGGGUGUAAAGGGAGCGCAGACGGCAGCGCAAGUCCGGGGUGAAAGCCCGCGGCCCAACCGCGGGACUGCCCUGGAAACUGUGCGGCUGGAGUGCCGGAGAGGUAAGCGGAAUUCCUAGUGUAGCGGUGAAAUGCGUAGAUAUUAGGAGGAACACCAGUGGCGAAGGCGGCUUACUGGACGGUAACUGACGUUGAGGCUCGAAAGCGUGGGGAGCAAACAGG